UGCCGGCGACCGGCGGACGGGUGCGUAACGCGUAUGUAACCUACCUUUGACGAGGGGGAUAACAUCGAAGAAAUUGGUACUAAUACCCCAUAACAUCACCGGAGGCAUCUUCGGUGGUUAGAAAACUCAGGUGGUCAGAGAUGGACAUGCGUUGUAUUAGCUAGUUGGUGAGGUAACGGCUCACCAAGGCGACGAUACAGUAGGGGACUGAGAGGUCAACCCCCCACAUUGGUACUGAGACACGGACCAAACUCCUACGGAAGGCAGCAG
Molecule: ribosomal RNA, 270 nt
Filed under: uncultured bacterium
Lineage: Bacteria
Description: partial 16S ribosomal RNA
Rfam family: Bacterial small subunit ribosomal RNA
Source: RNAcentral